UGAACGCUGGCGGCGUGCCUAAUACAUGCACGUCGAGCGAACGGACGCGAAGCUUGCUUCUCUGAUGUUAGCGGCGGACGGGUGAGUAACACGUGGAUAACCUACCUAUAAGACUGGGAUAACUUCGGGAAACCGGAGCUAAUACCGGAUAAUAUUUUGAACCGCAUGGUUCAAAAGUGAAAGACGGUCUUGCUGUCACUUAUAGAUGGAUCCGCGCUGCAUUAGCUAGUUGGUAAGGUAACGGCUUACCAAGGCAACGAUGCAUAGCCGACCUGAGAGGGUGAUCGGCCACACUGGAACUGAGACACGGUCCAGACUCCUACGGGAGGCAGCAGUAGGGAAUCUUCCGCAAUGGGCGAAAGCCUGACGGAGCAACGCCGCGUGAGUGAUGAAGGUCUUCGGAUCGUAAAACUCUGUUAUUAGGGAAGAACAUAUGUGUAAGUAACUGUGCACAUCUUGACGGUACCUAAUCAGAAAGCCACGGCUAACUACGUG
RNAcentral lists this ribosomal RNA (495 nucleotides) under uncultured bacterium. RNAcentral describes it as "partial 16S ribosomal RNA". It matches the Rfam family "Bacterial small subunit ribosomal RNA", at positions 30 to 507 of the family's 1533-position model. The record is from RNAcentral.